CAAUAGCGUAUAUUAAAGUUGUUGCAGUUAAAAGCUCGUAGUCGGAUUUUGGCAUCACGCCGAACUGUCAGCCGAUUGGUUUGUACGGUUUGGCGGGUGCUCUCCUUCCGGAAGCUCGUUCCCUUCUUAGUUGACGGGUUCGAUGGUUCCGGAUCUUUUACUUUGAAAAAUUAGAGUGUUCAAAGCAGGCCUAUGCUCUGAAUAGGUUAGCAUGGAAUAAUAGAAUAGGACUUUGGUUCUAUUUUGUUGGUUUCUAGGACCGAAGUAAUGAUUAAUAGGGACAGUUGGGGGCAUUCAUAUUCCAAUGUCAGAGGUGAAAUUCUUGGAUUAUCGGAAGAUGAACUUCUGCGAAAGCAUCUGCCAAGGAUGUUUUCAUUGAUCAAGAACGAAAGUUAGGGGAUCGAAGACGAUCAGAUACCGU
RNAcentral lists this ribosomal RNA (421 nucleotides) under uncultured eukaryote. Its description in RNAcentral is "SSU rRNA". It matches the Rfam family "Eukaryotic small subunit ribosomal RNA", at positions 592 to 1018 of the family's 1831-position model. The record is from RNAcentral.